CCCGCAGCCGCGGGGCGCUGGGGGCCCUGGGGGCCCUGGAGCCCCUGCGCGCGGCCCUGGGGCGACAUCGCCUGCCGCAGCGCCGUGGGGCAGCAGCGGCGCACGCGGGACUGCUCGGGGCGCGGCCCGGGCGGCCCCCCCUGCCCCACGGCCCAGGGCAGCAGCAUCGAGCUGCGGGCGUGCUACAGCGUGCACAACUGCGUCCGUGAGUGCCGCCCCGCGGCCGCCCCACGGCCUCCCCACGGCUGCCCCACGGCCGCCCCACGGCCGCCCCACGGCCGCCCCACGGCCGCCCCACGGCUGCCCCACGGCUGCCCCACGGCCGCCCCACGGCCGCCCCACGGCCCCGGUUCCCAUCCCCACAGCCCCGGUUCCCAUCCCCAUAGCUGCCCCACAGCCCCGGUUCCCAUCCCCACAGCCCCGGUUCCCAUCCCCACAGCUCCGGUUCCCAUCCCCACAGCUGCCCCACAGCCCCGGUUCCCAUCCCCACAGCCCCGGUUCCCAUCCCCGCAGCUCCGGUUCCCAUCCCCACAGCUGCCCCACAGCUCCGGUUCCCAUCCCCACAGCUGCCCCACAGCUCCGGUUCCCAUCCCCACAGCUGCCCCACAGCCCCGGUUCCCAUCCCCACGGCCCCGGUUCCCACCCCCACAGCUCCGGUUCCCAUCCCCACAGCUGCCCCACAGCCCCGGUUCCCAUCCCCACAGCUCCGGUUCCCAUCCCCACGGCCCCGGUUCCCACCCCCACAGCCCCGGUUCCCAUCCCCACAGCCCCGGUUCCCAUCCCCGCAGCCCCGGUUCCCAUCCCCACAGCCCCGGUUCCCAUCCCCACAGCUCCGGUUCCCACCCCCACAGCUCCGGUUCCCAUCCCCACAGCUCCGGUUCCCAUCCCCACGGCUGUCCCACAGCCCCGGUUCCCAUCCCCGCAGCCCCGGUUCCCAUCCCCACAGCCCCGGUUCCCAUCCCCACAGCUCCGGUUCCCACCCCCACAGCUCCGGUUCCCAUCCCCACAGCUCCGGUUCCCAUCCCCACGGCUGUCCCACAGCCCCGGUUCCCAUCCCCACGGCUCCGGUUCCCA
This 1074-nucleotide long non-coding RNA is filed under the name Chloebia gouldiae (Gouldian finch). RNAcentral's name for it is "Erythrura gouldiae (Gouldian finch) lncRNA (ENSEGOG00005018562.1)". The record is from RNAcentral. Lineage: Eukaryota; Metazoa; Chordata; Aves; Passeriformes; Passeridae.